RNAcentral lists this ribosomal RNA (216 nucleotides) under Glomeromycotina sp. Its description in RNAcentral is "partial small subunit ribosomal RNA". The stretch from base 40 to 216 matches the Rfam family "Eukaryotic small subunit ribosomal RNA", at positions 686 to 864 of the family's 1831-position model. Lineage: Eukaryota; Fungi; Glomeromycota. The record is from RNAcentral.
GGGUCAGUAGGUUGGUCGUGCCACCGGUACGUACUGGUCUAACUGAUUCCUCCUUCCUGAAGAACCGUAAUGCCAUUAAUUUGGUGUUGCGGGGAAACAGGACUGUUACUUUGAAAAAAUUAGAGUGUUUAACGCAAGCUAACGCUUGAAUACAUUAGCAUGGAAUAAUGAAAUAGGACGAUCGAUCCUAUUUUGUUGGUUUCUAGGAUUGACGUA